Molecule: ribosomal RNA, 274 nt
Filed under: uncultured bacterium
Lineage: Bacteria
Description: partial 16S ribosomal RNA
Rfam family: Bacterial small subunit ribosomal RNA
Source: RNAcentral
AUACGGGGUGUGCAAGCGUUAUUCGGAUUUAUUGGGCGUAAAGAGCGCGUAGGCGGCUUGGUAAGUCAGAUGUGAAAGCCCGGGGCUCAACCUCGGAAGUGCAUUUGAAACUAUCAGGCUUGAGUAUGGGAGAGGGAAGUGGAAUUCCUGGUGUAGAGGUGAAAUUCGUAGAUAUCAGGAGGAACACCGGUGGCGAAGGCGACUUCCUGGACCAAUACUGACGCUGAGGCGCGAAGGCGUGGGGAGCAAACAGGAUUAGAUACCCCAGUAGUCC